Non-coding RNA from Schizosaccharomyces pombe (fission yeast), 139 nucleotides. The record is from the annotation of a GenBank genome assembly. NCBI's taxonomy places the organism in Eukaryota, Fungi, Ascomycota, Schizosaccharomycetes, Schizosaccharomycetales, Schizosaccharomycetaceae.
AAACAAAACGAAAUUUUUUUUUUGUUCUUACGUUUUUCAAUUACUGGGGGGACAAAUUACGUACUAACUGUUAGUUUCUAUGGUGAUUUCGUUUUAAUUAGUUACUUUUUUAUUUAUUACAUUCAAAAACACAGCUUUU